RNAcentral lists this ribosomal RNA (213 nucleotides) under uncultured bacterium. Its description in RNAcentral is "partial 16S ribosomal RNA". It matches the Rfam family "Bacterial small subunit ribosomal RNA", at positions 146 to 353 of the family's 1533-position model. The record is from RNAcentral.
ACUAUUGGAAACGAUAGCUAAUACCGCAUAACAAUGGAUGACACAUGUCAUUUAUUUGAAAGGAGCAAUUGCUCCACUACAAGAUGGACCUGCGUUGUAUUAGCUAGUAGGUGAGGUAAUGGCUCACCUAGGCGACGAUACAUAGCCGACCUGAGAGGGUGAUCGGCCACACUGGGACUGAGACACGGCCAGACUCCUACGGGAGGCAGCAUG